UGUAUACUCCCUCCGUCCCAAAAUUCUUGUCUUAGAUUUGUCUAAAUACGGAUAUAUCUAGUUACAUUUUAGUGUUAGAUACAUCCGUAUCUAGACAAAUCUAAGAUAAGAAUUUUGGGACGGAGGGAGUAUAUA
Molecule: non-coding RNA, 135 nt
Organism: Triticum aestivum (bread wheat)
Lineage: Eukaryota; Viridiplantae; Streptophyta; Magnoliopsida; Poales; Poaceae
Source: Rfam